Molecule: ribosomal RNA, 497 nt
Filed under: uncultured bacterium
Lineage: Bacteria
Description: partial 16S ribosomal RNA
Rfam family: Bacterial small subunit ribosomal RNA
Source: RNAcentral
GAUGAACGCUGGCGGCGUGCCUAAUACAUGCAAGUCGAGCGAACAGAUGAGGAGCUUGCUCCUCUGACGUUAGCGGCGGACGGGUGAGUAACACGUGGAUAACCUACCUAUAAGACUGGGAUAACUUCGGGAAACCGGAGCUAAUACCGGAUAAUAUAUUGAACCGCAUGGUUCAAUAGUGAAAGACGGUUUUGCUGUCACUUAUAGAUGGAUCCGCGCCGCAUUAGCUAGUUGGUAAGGUAACGGCUUACCAAGGCAACGAUGCGUAGCCGACCUGAGAGGGGGAUCGGCCACACUGGAACUGAGACACGGUCCAGACGCCUACGGGAGGCAGCAGUAGGGAAUGUUCCGCAAUGGGCGAAAGCCUGACGGAGCAACGCCGCGUGAGUGAUGAAGGUCUUCGGAUCGUAAAACUCUGUUAUUAGGGAAGAACAAAUGUGUAAGUAACUAUGCACGUCUUGACGGUACCGAAUCAGAAAGCCACGGCUAACUACGUG